AUAGAAUCGGCCGAUCUCGAGUUGUUGUGAGUAACACUUCUCUCCUCUAACUCUGGUUUUUUUUUUUGGUAUUUAUUUCUUUUGUUUUACUAAACUUCUUUUUUUUUUAUUAAAAAAAAAACAAAUAUUGCUAAAGGUAAAAACUUUACACUGAUAUUUUUCAAUUUUAACGCAAUAACAUAUAAUUUCUCUAACAAUAUUAAUAAUAAAUUGAUAAUAUAUGAUAUAUAUAUAUAUAUGUACUGUAUAUAUUGUAUAUAUAUAUAUAUAUAUAUAUAUAUAUAUAUAUAUAUGUUGUAUUGUUAAUGAACAAUGUUUUAAAUAUUGACUAAUGUUCAGCUUUAAUACAAAUCUAUUAAACAAGAGUAUUAUACAAUUGGAAGCAUAAAAAAAAUAGAAAAAAUACCCGAAAAAGCGUCAAUUCUAAUAAUAUAAAUAAUCCUGUUUUUUUACUUGGUCAUUAGAUAAAAUAUUAGUAGGAUUUAAAAUAAUAAUACUAUAGAAAAAAAGAAUUUAGACGCUUUGCAUCUCUCGUAUUUGUUAGCGUUACUUAUAUAUAUAUGCAUUAAAUUUAUUGUUUUGUUGUUUUAUCGACAAAUCUGAAAAUUUUGGUUGGGGAAGGUUGAUUAUAUUUAUUUAACCAUAUACUGUAUAGGCUAUUUGAUUACACCAUAUUAGCAAUAAUACCAAGCCAAUUUGUUAAAAGUUAUGUUUCAUUAAUAAUGAAAAUAUAUAUAUGGUUGGUAAUUGGGCCUUUUAAGCCCUCGAAGGUUAGAUUGGUGAACCGUAUAGGACGAUAUUUCUUAUUUAUUAGUAGAAAAGGAUCUAGACAGAGGACAAGAUAGUGGAAAUUUGGUCUAAUUUUACAGUUGAGUCACAUACCUUACUGGCGGAAAAAAGUGCCAUACGAUUCGCCGCCCUCAAGAUUAAUCGUCUUAUAAGAAAAUCGCGUGUAUUAUUAGACGCCGAAAGUUUGUCCAAGUGGGCCUAUAAAACGCACCGAAUCGAUAAAGCGCCAAGUUUGUCAGCUGCUACCAAGCUAGUGUUUUUUACUAGCUCUAGGUCACAUAUGCGUUUAGAAUAGGCGAGUUUGAAAUUAAUUGAUGUGGAUGCGAGCUUUAUUUAUUAUCAACUACUUAGGAAUUUUAUAAAGAGUGAAGUGUCUAACGUCAAGGGAGGUUAUUAGGCUUUACAUAUUUAGUCUUAUCCACAGCUCUCUCCCUUUACUCUUAUUUUCGAUUUAUCUAGUUUGUCCAAAAUCUACAUGUCAAAUGGUGUUUUUCAAUAAAUUAUACUAAUAAAGAAUAAAUAUACAGGUCUGGGAUAUGAUGACCUUGGUUUAAACAUCUAGCAUGAAUAACUUUACAAGCAAGGUGACUUCUUUAAGUAUUAAAGGAUGGAAAGACUUUUCGUCGGUCUUUACCGAACAAAAAACAACUUUGGCAAGCGUCGACUCGGGACCAUCCGAAGGCAGUUCACUUUUAGAGGGGAAAAAGAAGGUUCAAAAUAAAUUCUCCUCUAAUAAAAAUAACAAAAACGAAGAUCCUGGACAAGUUCAACCUUUGCUUGAUAGUUCCCCCGAUAAAGAAUGGGAAGAUAGACCAACAUGGAAUGGACUUGAAAGGGAAUUUAAAGCAGAUUUGGGCGUUGAUAACAAUAUUGAGCAUGAGAGUCGAGCGAAAGACCCCCUAGAAGAACAACUAAAAGACGAUAAAAAACCAAAGCAUAGAGAUGCAAUGAAUUUGAUUGAUUUUACCCAGUAGUGGAUAGUUUAUUAAAAAUAACGUAUAGAAAUAACAAAAGAUAAGAAAUAUACUAUUAUAAUCUCUCUCUUUUUUUACCUCUCUCUCUCUCUCUCUCUCUGUGUCUUUCUCUCUCUUUCAUUCUCUCUUCAUUUUGAAUAUUUCCAUAUAUUUUUUUUUAUUAAACAAAAGGAAAAGUUCAAAUUUUCUUGCAAGAGGAAAUAAAUUUAAAUAUAUUUUCUAAAAGGCCUACAAGAUGUAAAAUAUCAGUCCUAUACUUGAUAAUAGUUUUCCAAAUGUUAAUUAUAUUAUACUUUUUAAAACGGAAAAGAAAAUAACGAGAAAGAUUCUGAAUGUGAACUUUAUUUUUGCCGAUGUUAU
RNAcentral lists this unclassified non-coding RNA (2123 nucleotides) under Dimorphilus gyrociliatus. RNAcentral's name for it is "dgyrCDS1490". Lineage: Eukaryota; Metazoa; Annelida; Polychaeta; Dinophilidae. The record is from RNAcentral.